GGAGCUUGCUCCUGGAUUCAGCGGCGGACGGGUGAGUAAUGCCUAGGAAUCUGCCUGGUAGUGGGGGAUAACGUCCGGAAACGGGCGCUAAUACCGCAUACGUCCUGAGGGAGAAAGUGGGGGAUCUUCGGACCUCACGCUAUCAGAUGAGCCUAGGUCGGAUUAGCUAGUUGGUGGGGUAAAGGCCUACCAAGGCGACGAUCCGUAACUGGUCUGAGAGGAUGAUCAGUCACACUGGAACUGAGACACGGUCCAGACUCCUACGGGAGGCAGCAGUGGGGAAUAUUGGACAAUGGGCGAAAGCCUGAUCCAGCCAUGCCGCGUGUGUGAAGAAGGUCUUCGGAUUGUAAAGCACUUUAAGUUGGGAGGAAGGGCAGUAAGUUAAUACCUUGCUGUUUUGACGUUACCAACAUAAUAAGCACCGGCUAACUUCGUGCCAGCAGCCGCGGUAAUACGAAGGGUGCAAGCGUUAAUCGGAAUUACUGGGCGUAAAGCGCGCGUAGGUGGUUCAGCAAGUUGGAUGUGAAAUCCCCGGGCUCAACCUGGGAACUGCAUCCAAAACUACUGAGCUAGAGUACGGUAGAGGGUGGUGGAAUUUCCUGUGUAGCGGUGAAAUGCGUAGAUAUAGGAAGGAACACCAGUGGCGAAGGCGACCACCUGGACUGAUACUGACACUGAGGUGCGAAAGCGUGGGGGAGCAAACAGGAUUAAUACCCUGGU
RNAcentral lists this ribosomal RNA (720 nucleotides) under Pseudomonas sp. RNAcentral's name for it is "bacterial SSU rRNA". It matches the Rfam family "Bacterial small subunit ribosomal RNA", at positions 75 to 791 of the family's 1533-position model. The record is from RNAcentral. Lineage: Bacteria; Pseudomonadati; Pseudomonadota; Gammaproteobacteria; Pseudomonadales; Pseudomonadaceae.